GCGCUUUGAGGUGGAAAUUUUGUGUCGCCAUACGCCGCAUGCCUUUGGGCAAUGGGCAAAAGAGAUGCAGGGCCAGGCACGCCUGCCAAAGCAC
RNAcentral lists this non-coding RNA (94 nucleotides) under unclassified sequences. RNAcentral describes it as "skipping-rope RNA". It matches the Rfam family "skipping-rope RNA". From Rfam's summary of the family: Firmicutes, Fusobacteria, AlphaProteobacteria, Spirochaetes. Downstream gene The record is from Rfam by way of RNAcentral.